Molecule: long non-coding RNA, 527 nt
Organism: Cavia porcellus (domestic guinea pig)
Lineage: Eukaryota; Metazoa; Chordata; Mammalia; Rodentia; Caviidae
Exons: 3
Source: RefSeq, a predicted model, not a curated record
CUGGCACCAGAGCAAUCCAGUUCUCCCAGGCGGAAAUGUUUCCACAGGAUCCUUUUCCUCCUGGGAAACCUGCUUUGUCUCUCGGUGAAGGACUCCCAAACUGGGCACUUCAUGAACAGAAUCAGAUAGUUUAGAAGAAAAGGAAGAGGGAGCAGAUCCUGGAGUGGACCCCUGACAGCUGAGGGCAGCUGGGCUGGAUGGAGGGGGAGGACGGCGUGCGGCUCCGGCCUGGAUGGGGGUUUUCUAACGCCUCCUGCCGACCCCCGGGAACCCCAAACUCCGAUCCCCGCCGUCGGCUCCGGACGCGGGCCCCGGCCUCCUCAAGCACUCACCUCGGCCGGGCUGCGCUCCCCGCGGGCCUGCGCCGAGCCCGAUAAGUGGUAUGCUAUGACUAGAGACCCCUGAUGGCCCCUUGUGUCCUUUUUUGUGGAUGAAGACCCCCGAGGCUCCAAAGGAAGCAGCAGCUCAUUUGGCUUUGGGGGGGGGGGAGUUUAAAGGGAAAAAAAAAUUAUAUGACACUUGUUAAA